Xiphophorus hellerii (green swordtail) is the source of this 539-nucleotide long non-coding RNA. RefSeq lists it as uncharacterized. NCBI's taxonomy places the organism in Eukaryota, Metazoa, Chordata, Actinopteri, Cyprinodontiformes, Poeciliidae. The record is from RefSeq and is a predicted model, not a curated record. The transcript is spliced from 2 exons.
CGGUGAGGUGGAAGGACGGAGUCAUCCCAGCGACCGAAUCCCUCCCCGCAGACAGACAGCAGCCGCAGCUCGACGCUGAAGUUCACUUCCUAUUGAGUGUCGGACAACCGGCCAAAAAAAAUAGCCAGAGGGUUCUGGUCGUCUUCUAUAUACCAACGUCAGACUUACUUCAGUGGGAAAGAGCUUGAGGCCUUGAAGGUUCACUGAAAUCUCUUUCUGAAAAACAUUAAUCAUCCGCCUCUUCGCCCGUCUGCAUCAUAACAAGAGGGGAAACUCUCUGCGCGAUUCCUGGACUUGCUGCCACGGAGUAUUGGUUAACUUGGCUGGAGUGGAAAAGCACGUCAUAGCAGGUGCAUAAACCUGCUCAACCUUAAACCCUCCCUUUAUUUAUUGUCUUCUUCUCCCUCACCUGAGAAAAGAAUGAAAAAGUCUCAGAUGUCGGUCUACUGUUGCUUUUUCUCUCUCUUUUUAUUAUUUGUUCCCCAAGGGGAAAAAAAGAUGAGGGGAAAAAUAAAUAAAUAAAAACAGGGUGGCAGCUA